GUGAAUCAUCGAAUCUUUGAACGCACCUUGCGCUCCUUGGUAUUCCGAGGAGCAUGCCUGUUUGAGUGUCAUUAAUAUAUCAACCUCCUCAGGUUUCGACUUGUCGAGUGUUUUGGAUGUGGGGGGUCUUUUUGCUGGUCUCUUUUUGAGGUCGGCUCCCCUAAAAUGCAUUAGCGGAACAAUUUGUUGACCCGUUCAUUGGUGUGAUAACUAUCUACGCUUUUUGAGGUGAAACAGGUUCAGCUUCUAACAGUCCAUUAACUUGGACAAAUUUUUCAUUAAUGUGACCUCAAAAUCAGGUAGGACUACCCGCUGAACUUAAGCAUAUCAAUAAGGCGAGG
This 341-nucleotide ribosomal RNA is filed under the name uncultured fungus. RNAcentral's name for it is "eukaryotic LSU rRNA". The stretch from base 1 to 71 matches the Rfam family "5.8S ribosomal RNA", at positions 84 to 154 of the family's 154-position model. Lineage: Eukaryota; Fungi. The record is from RNAcentral.